CCUACGGGUGGCAGCAGUGAGGAAUAUUGGUCAAUGGGCGCGAGCCUGAACCAGCCAAGUAGCGUGAAGGAUGACUGCCCUAUGGGUUGUAAACUUCUUUUAUAUGGGAAUAAAGUGUUGCACGUGUGCCUUUUUGUAUGUACUUUAUGAAUAAGGAUCGGCUAACUCCGUGCCAGCAGCCGCGGUAAUACGGAGGAUCCGAGCGUUAUCCGGAUUUAUUGGGUUUAAAGGGAGCGUAGGUGGGUUGUUAAGUCAGUUGUGAAAGUUUGCGGCUCAACCGUAAAAUUGCAGUUGAUACUGGCAGUCUUGAGUACAGUAGAGGUGGGCGGAAUUCGUGGUGUAGCGGUGAAAUGCUUAGAUAUCACGAAGAACUCCGAUUGCGAAGGCAGCUUACUGGACUGCCACUGACACUGAGGCUCGAAAGUGUGGGUAUCAAACAGGAUUAGAUACCCCAGUAGUC
This 460-nucleotide ribosomal RNA is filed under the name uncultured bacterium. Its description in RNAcentral is "partial 16S ribosomal RNA". It matches the Rfam family "Bacterial small subunit ribosomal RNA", at positions 338 to 795 of the family's 1533-position model. The record is from RNAcentral.